This 2647-nucleotide unclassified non-coding RNA is filed under the name Hevea brasiliensis (rubber tree). The record is from RNAcentral. Lineage: Eukaryota; Viridiplantae; Streptophyta; Magnoliopsida; Malpighiales; Euphorbiaceae.
UUUUCCUAAUUAGUUGUAAUUUUAAAUUUUAAAUGCAAUCCUAAAUUUUAAAUCAAAUCCACAAAUGCAAAACUAAACAUUAAAUCAAACCCAAAUUUAAAAGAAUUAAAACCCAAUGUAAAAUAAACCAAUCAAAGUAGAGACAACCAAUCACAAAACUCUAAAUCACAAUAAACAACCAAUCACAGUAGAAACAACCCAAUGUAAAACUCUAAAUCAGCUAUGCUGCACAUGGGAUGGAUCAAGCGAAGACAAAAGGCGAGGGACGGAGCAUAGAUUGAUCCCUCAUCUCGCCGUCGUUGCCACUGUCCGUCGCCGACAGGACUUGCAUAGAUCCAUCCCUCACCUUGCCGCCCUUGCCGCUGUCCGUCGCCGUCAGAUGAACUACACAAUGCUUGGUGCCGCCGCAGAACUUCUUCUGCAUCUUCCAUAUCAGCAAUUUUUUCUUCAAGCCUGAGAUAAAAUAUGGGCAACAACUAAACCCACAUUAGUCAUCAAGAAAUCCAGUUAUGCUCCCUCCACAUUAACAUAAAGAGGCACAUUUAUAAAUUUUAGAAAUUGUAGAACCUCUGCAUGGCAGUUUUCAACUCAAUGAUCUUUGUUUCUGCCUCUAAAGCCUGCUUUAACCGUUCUGCACUGAGCUUAUUGGUUUCCUCAUAUUUCCUCUCUGCUUCAUCAAUUUUCUUUUCUAGUGAACUGACCAUAGCCUGUGGAGAGUCAUGCAGAAUAUAUCAUUUAGUACAAGUUCAAUUUUAUCUUUUUUAUAUAUUAUCCAUUUUCCUUUUCCUUAGAUUGAUGAAUGCACUUACUUCUGAAGCCUUUUAUCAGCAUUUUGAACCCAAGGUCCGUUUAAAAGCAAAAAAUUGUAAAAAUGUCAUUCAGAAAAUAUUCAUUUAGUACAAGAUAAAUUUUGCCUUUUUCAUAUUUUAUCCAUUUACCCUUUUCUUAAAUAGAUGAAUGCACUUAUUUCUGAAGCCUUGUAUCAGCAUUUAAAACCAAAGCUCCAUUAAAUCAACAUAUGUAAAAUCUUACCUUGAGCAUCUCAUUUUCAGCAGUAAGUUUAUUCACUAAUUCAUGGUCAACAACUGAGACCUCAGCAGUAAGUUUAUUCGCUAAUUCAUUGUCAACAACUGAGACCUCCUGUGUUAUAGGAACUUGUCCAGUCUCUUUCUUUGCAGCCUCACAUUCCUUAAUAAGCUGGGCUUUAGUUUCUUGGAAUUCAAGUUGCAUCUCUUGCAAAGCAGAAUGCAAUUUAGCAUUUUCCUGUGUUUUGGCUUCCUCAAGGUCAGCCCUCAUUCUUUUCUCCUGCUCCAAACACCAGGUAAGUUCUUCAACUUGCUUUUCCAGCUUAGUUUUGGCCUCUUGAAGGGCACCUGUCUCUUUAGCAGCCAUUUUAAGUUUCCGUAGUUCUCUGCACGCAACUUCUCCUCUACAGGCACAUUGCAUGGUAAUUGCUGCUUUCUUUAAACUCAAAUAGUGAAGGGAGGCCAAGUAUUUUCGGCACUGACUUUGGAUCAUAAUUGCAGCUCUUGUCUGCCUCCUGAACUGAAGCUCAUUACAAGCAGCCAUUCUACGCAUAGCUGCCUGAAUAGAAACAGCUGAAGAGCACAGCCUGUUGUAAGCUUUCCUUGCAAGAUGCCUCCGAGCAUGUUUCUGGAUUUUCAGAGAUGCAGCUUCUCUUCUUAGGCACUCGUACAGAUGGCGUGCUAAUUGACCUCUGCAUACAGUUUGGAUAUCAAUGGCAGACUGUCGCAAUAAGAGAAAGCUUUUGCGGCAAAAAUAUGUACGAACUUUCCUCUGAAUGAUCCUAGCCGAUCUUCCUAACACCUCACUUCGACGAGCAUCUAGUUCUGCCAUUUGACCAGCCCUGAGAAACACCUUUGUUUUGCCAAUCUGAUAACCUUGAAGGUUUGCUUUCUCCAAAAGCCUCUUGCAAGCAGUAGGUCCAUCACAGCUCCCAUUGAGAACAUCUGGUCCCAGAAUGCUAAAACGAGCUUUAAAUUCAUCGAACAUCUUCCGAGUUGGAUAUCCUGCACAACUAAUCCUAAUAGCCUCCAUGACUCCCUGGAAUCAAAUGCAUAUUAAAUCCACUGCACAUCAAUGGGGCAAACUUACUGAAUUCAACAUCAAGAAAGGUGAAAUGACCAAUUCUCAAAUCUCACCCCACAACGUAAUUGCUGUAAAACAUUACUAUUCUCAAAUAUGGCUGGCUUUAGAACAUUAUUUGGCUUUACACAACGAAUGUAGUGUGGCUCAGUGGCACUCAGUGUUUCAAGCAAAGCUUGUAGUUGUUGCUGUAAGAAGACAAGAAUUAAGACUAUGGUAUGUAAAAGAAGCUAGUUGUGUGCAUCAAACUUAUGGACAGCUGGAUAAGCAGACCUUAAACCGAGAACCUAUUGAUGAAAACUUUGAUGAUUUUGCAGAAUCCUCAGGUAAUGGUGGGAACAGGCCUGAGACAAAGGUGCAUUUGGACUCUCUAAGGAGAGCUUGGUGCUCUGCAACAACAUAAUCUUUGUUCUUAUCCAGAAAGUGUUCAGUUUGGUAUGUUACAUCACCAGCAUAAUGAGAAAUAGUGAAGUCACUACGUGCCAACUUAGGCUUGCUUAAGCGCUUGUGAUCUUUAAAAGUCUGAUAAAGCUUCUGUGCA